CCUACGGGGAGCAGCAGUGAGGAAUAUUGGUCAAUGGGCGCAAGCCUGAACCAGCCAAGUCGCGUGAGGGAUGACGGUCCUAUGGAUUGUAAACCUCUUUUGUCGGGGAGCAAGGCCCGCCACGUGUGGCGGGAAGGAGAGUACCCGAAGAAAAAGCAUCGGCUAACUCCGUGCCAGCAGCCGCGGUAAUACGGAGGAUGCGAGCGUUAUCCGGAUUUAUUGGGUUUAAAGGGUGCGUAGGCGGAAGGUUAAGUCAGCGGUCAAAUGUCGGUGCCCAACACCGGCCUGCCGUUGAAACUGGUCGUCUUGAGUGAGCGAGAAGUAUGCGGAAUGCGUGGUGUAGCGGUGAAAUGCAUAGAUAUCACGCAGAACUCCGAUUGCGAAGGCAGCAUACCGGCGCUCAACUGACGCUGAGGCACGAAAGCGUGGGGAUCGAACAGGAUUAGAUACCCCUGUAGUC
This 460-nucleotide ribosomal RNA is filed under the name uncultured bacterium. Its description in RNAcentral is "partial 16S ribosomal RNA". It matches the Rfam family "Bacterial small subunit ribosomal RNA", at positions 338 to 795 of the family's 1533-position model. The record is from RNAcentral.